CAUUUGAAAAGCACAACUCUCCAGAAUCUCUAACCUGUGACUCCACUUUAUUGAAUGCUGUUAUUUCAAAGGAAUCUAGUAAAAUGAUGAUUGAUGAAAUGUGUAAGCCCGUUAUAAAUGACUCACCAAAUCGUCUUAGACUCAAGAGAACUGUAUCAUCGUUGGCAAAUAUUAAUAUAUUGAAGUCAAAAAAGAUUAAACUGCUCAAUCAAAAAGUGAAACGUCAAGGCAAAAAAAAUAGCUUCAAUGAAACGAGUGAUCGAGACUUUGAAAAAAAAUAACCUUGUCAAUUAUGACACAAGUGAAUUGUUGUCUUCCAGUUUUGAUUUUGAUCGUCUGGAACGAUCCUAGAUGUCUUGAGGAUAUCAAAUUUGUUUAACAAGAAAUAUUGUUGAUUAUAAGAUCAACAAGCAGACAAAAGUUAAUAGCAUGGAGUAAUAAUAAUCUUGUUAUUACUCUAUGGCUAUUAUUUAUAUUUAGGCCCUAGAGUCCUGGACUAUUAUGUCCUAAAAUCUACAACAAUUUUACUUAGUUUAAUUUUCCAGUUUAAUUAUGAAACUUUAAUUCAAUUUAUUGUUUGUUUUUGAUUUCAGAUUUUAUUUUGAUCGUCUGGAACGAUCCAAGAUAUCUUGAAGAUAUCAUAUUACUAGAAAAUUAAAUGCUA
Molecule: long non-coding RNA, 664 nt
Organism: Aphis gossypii (cotton aphid)
Lineage: Eukaryota; Metazoa; Arthropoda; Insecta; Hemiptera; Aphididae
Exons: 3
Source: RefSeq, a predicted model, not a curated record